RNAcentral lists this small RNA (28 nucleotides) under Bombyx mori (domestic silkworm). RNAcentral describes it as "ovarian small RNA-33631". Lineage: Eukaryota; Metazoa; Arthropoda; Insecta; Lepidoptera; Bombycidae. The record is from RNAcentral.
UGCAUUUGGGCCACCACCGACUUUUUGU